GGUUCUGUGGUGUAGUGGUUAUCACGUCUGCUUUACACGCAGAAGGUCUCCGGUUCGAUCCCGGGCAGAACCU
This 73-nucleotide transfer RNA is filed under the name Araneus ventricosus. It matches the Rfam family "tRNA". From Rfam's summary of the family: Transfer RNA (tRNA) molecules are approximately 80 nucleotides in length. Their secondary structure includes four short double-helical elements and three loops (D, anti-codon, and T loops). Lineage: Eukaryota; Metazoa; Arthropoda; Arachnida; Araneae; Araneidae. The record is from Rfam by way of RNAcentral.